CCACGUGCAUCCCGCGGAAUCACUUAGCAACCAGCGCAUCAGCGGUGAGCUGCGCCCGGGCUUUAGCCGAGAGAUGGAGCCGCGGGGUUUGAUGGGGCCUCAGGACAAAGUUGCUGGGCGGCCAGAGAAGUUGGGGAUGCAAUAAUUGCAACUACUACUUGGAGUUGUUAGAAGACUAAAUCGAAUGUUGGUCUUUGUAUGCACGAGCCUGGCCUGCAAUCCAUGGCCCGUUCGCCCAGUGGGAAUAAUGCAAUCUGUGUUUUUUGCCUAGCUCCCAAGAUAAGAAUAAUUUUUUACAUUGUUAAAUGGAAAAAUUCCAAAGAAGAAUGAUAUUUUUUACCAUAAGAAAACUAUGAAAUUCAAAUUUCAGUGCUGAUAAAUAAAGCUGUCUACCACACGAAGCCUCUCUCUACUCCUUCUGCUUUGCUGAGGUCUCAAUGAUUAGCAUUUGGUUCCCUCUGCAAUUCUUGAAUUGUUUCCUGUGAGUCAGUCAGUCACGUUAGCAACACAGGGCCUGCAACUUGCUUCAUACUGCUCUUUCUCAAUGGUGUACAGCACACAUGAGGUAUAUGACAAAUACCAAGUACUAAAUACAAAAUUCCUCUGUGGCUUAAUUAGGAUUUUUCCCUGAAACAGACCUCAAGAUGAGAGUUCCAAUACAAAUAUUGUUAUGUAUUUCUUAAAGUAAGGGAUACAUCUGAGAAAUGUGCUGUCAUUAGGUGAUUUCAUUAUUAUGUGAACAUAAUAGAGUAUACUUACAAAAACAAGACAGCUAUGA
Long non-coding RNA from Marmota monax (woodchuck), 778 nucleotides. RefSeq lists it as uncharacterized. The transcript is spliced from 3 exons. NCBI's taxonomy places the organism in Eukaryota, Metazoa, Chordata, Mammalia, Rodentia, Sciuridae. The record is from RefSeq and is a predicted model, not a curated record.